ACGACUCUCGGCAACGGAUAUCUCGGCUCUCGCAUCGAUGAAGAACGCAGCGAAAUGCGAUACUUGGUGUGAAUUGCAGAAUCCCGUGAACCAUCGAGUUUUUGAACGCAAGUUGCGCCCAAAGCCUUUCCGGCUGAGGGCACGUCUGCCUGGGUGUCACGCAACAU
RNAcentral lists this ribosomal RNA (167 nucleotides) under Croton lucidus. RNAcentral's name for it is "5.8S ribosomal RNA". It matches the Rfam family "5.8S ribosomal RNA". Rfam says of the family: 5.8S ribosomal RNA (5.8S rRNA) is a component of the large subunit of the eukaryotic ribosome. It is transcribed by RNA polymerase I as part of the 45S precursor that also contains 18S and 28S rRNA. Functionally, it is thought that 5.8S rRNA may be involved in ribosome translocation. Lineage: Eukaryota; Viridiplantae; Streptophyta; Magnoliopsida; Malpighiales; Euphorbiaceae. The record is from RNAcentral.